Long non-coding RNA from Carassius gibelio (silver crucian carp), 2312 nucleotides. RefSeq lists it as uncharacterized. Lineage: Eukaryota; Metazoa; Chordata; Actinopteri; Cypriniformes; Cyprinidae. The transcript is spliced from 3 exons. The record is from RefSeq and is a predicted model, not a curated record.
UUAGACAAUUGGUGGCGCUAGAGAGUUUGAGUUAGAGACUUCAAAUUUGCUAUGGUUAAUGUUCAGACAGUCCUCUAUUAGUGUGCCAAAUUAUACAACUUUCCCGCAAUCGGUUCUAUGGGCUACCAUAGACUUGGGGUGGAAGAAGAGGAAGAAUAAUAAUAAUAAAUAUAGCUGCAAGCAGCAAUUACGGGGCCAAGCACUCCAACGGCAAAUGUAGGAGCUAAGCAUCGCAUGAAGCAUCACACCAAAUACAUUAAUGAGCAAUAACUGCAAUUUUGGAAUUAUUGUAUUUGAAAUGGCAAAAAAAAAACAAAAAAAACAAUACCACCUCUAGUAGCAUGAUUACUUGGCUUAUCAAGCUUGACCAAUAGGUGGCACUGUUAUAAAAUCAAUUUGGUGUACUCUGUGUGACUUUUCAAUGACACACACAAAGUUUGGUGUCAAUAUGCCAAAGCAUUCCAGGGAUACAGCCUCAAGUGUCAUUUUCUCAUUGUGCCUCAAAUUCGUCGAUGUGGUAUGCGAAAACGGUUUUGUCUAUCGACUCAAAAUCCAUAACUUUGAAUCAGUAUAGUCUGAAGAUCAUUUGAUUCGAAUUUGGUGAAAAUCGGACAUACGGUUGAUGAGGAGUUCGAAAAAAUAUGUUUUCAACAUAAAUCAAAAUGGCGGACCGGAAGUUCAGCUUACUGUGGUAUAUUUGGUAUCUAUGUUAUCGGCAUAAGCCAGGGAAUAUUUUGAGCCCAGUUUCCUUCAAAUAGGCUAAUGCAAUAAAAAGUUAUUAGCAUUUUAAAAAGUGUAAUUACUCAUGGUUAAUGAAUGGUUUAUUACUCUUGACCAAUAGGUGGCGCUGUUACCAAAUUUAUGUGGCAUGGUCAGUGUGAGGUGGCGAUGACACAUACAAAGUUUGGUGCAAAUAUGUCAAAGUGUUGCAGAGAUACAGCCUCAAAUGCAUUUUGGCACCCUUCCAGCAAAUUUGUUGAUGCGCUAAAUGAGAACCGUUACGUAUAUCGACACAAAAUCCAUAACUUUUUGCCAGCAUGGUCUGAAGAUGAUUCACGUCAAAUUAGGUGAAAAUUGGGCUAACGGUCUAGGAGGAGUUCGAAAAAGUAGGUUUUCAACAUUAAGCAAAAUGGCGGACAGGAAGUAAGGCCAAUUUUCACAUUAUUGGUAUCAAUACUCUCGGCAUGACCCACAGAAUAUAGCGAGACCAUUUUAAUUUUAAUAGACUAAUUUAUUCAAAAGUUAUUAGCGUUUAUGUGAUAUUUCAUUAUAACUAUUGGCCACAAGGUGGCGCUGCCACCAAACUUUUUGAGUACCUUCAGGGCAUGGAGCCGAAUAUUUUUGUAAUUAUUUGUGAAACGAUACGAUGCUGCGUUCAAAAAAUACAGCAUUUUGAAACAUAAUUCAAAAUGGCCGACGCCUAAAAUGGCCGACACAGGAAAAUUGGAUAUCAUUCGACUCGACAUGACUCACUGAAUCUAAAGAGACCAGUUGUGUGAUUUUUGGCCAAACCAUUCAGUAGUUAUAAGCCAAAAUAUGCAUUUUUCAUAUCUCCUGACCACUAGGUGGCGCUGUGUCGAAACACAGCAGGUAGUCUCAGUUCAUGCUUGUUAUAACACACGCCAAGUUUGGUCUCAAUAUGACAAACCGUUGCCGGGAUAUAGCCUCACGUGCAUGUUUGCGUGCUUUUCGUCAAAUUUGUUUACGUGUCAUUCGACAACAGUUGGACGAAUCAACUUGAAUUCCAUAACUUUUUGCCAGCAUGGUCUGAAGAUGAUCUGAGCCAAUUUUCGUGGCAAUCGGACUAACCGUCUAGGACGAGUUCGAAAAAGUAGGUUUUUCGAAAAAUUGAAAAUAGCGAAAAAACUAAACCUUGCGAUUUUUGAAUUUCGGGAUUCAUUCGACUUGGCUUGAGCCAAGGAUUCAGAGGAAAAAAGAAUUUCCAUUUUCUGGCUUACGGUUCAAAAGUUAUUAGCAUAUAAACAUUGAAAGUUUGGACAAGUGGUGGCGCUAGAGAGUUGGAGUUAGAGACUUCAAAUUUGCUAUAGUUAAUGGUGGGACUGUCCUCUAUCAGUGUGCCAAAUUAUACAACUUUCCCGCAAUCGGUUCUAUGGGCUACCAUAGACUUGCGGCGGAAGAAGAAGAAGAAGAAGAAGAAGAAGCAGAAUAAUAAUAACGCCAACGAUUACAAUAGGUGCCUACGCACCUUCGGUGCUUGGCCCCUAAUAAUAACGCCAACAAACACAAUAGGUGCCUUCGCACCUUCGGUGCUUGGCCCCUAAUAAUAACGCCAACAAACACAAUAGGUGCCU